UUUGAAGCAUUUAAUAGAAUAUGAAUGGAAAUGGAUCGUACACCAAUAUAUACCAAAAGGUCAUCUAGAAUAAAUCCAAUAUAUACAAAUAAAUAAAUAAAUAAAUAAAGAGGACAAGGAUAAUCGGUAUACCCUUUACAAUGCAAUCCCAAAUCUAGUGGCUCUCCACAGCUUCCUCAACAAAACUUAGAAAUACCCACAAACAUCUCAAACCUUUCACAGAAGAAAAAAAAACAAAGAAAAUAUAGAGAGAGUUUCUUUUCAAAAAUCCAGCAAGUCGUCCCCUUUAGCUGUCCUCCCUCUCUCCCAGAAUGCUCAUUUUUUUCCUUCUUAAUCCAAAAUUUUUGGUCCUCUAACAGCUCAACCCAUGCCCUGUUUUCACCUACCCCAACUGCUCCCAAUCAACACUGCACCUCUUUUUCUGCUCUCAGCAACAACAAAAAGAAAUGCCACAACCAUGUAAGCAAAAGGGGUCAGACCUAAUAUAAGAUUUAAUAAAUAUAUCAGCCCAAAUCUAACUAAUAUAAUAGGCCCAAAUAAAACCAAAUAGCAAUCCAACAAGCCAAAUCUCAACACUAAUAAAUAGAAAACAGAAAUCAACCCAAAAUAAGCCCAAAUGAAUAAAUCAAAGGCCCAAUAGGAAAUCCAAUAAUAUGUAAGCCCAAAUUACACAAAUCUGCAACCCAAAUCAACAUCCUUAAAGUCUGUAAACACAAUCCAAAGCCCAAACAAACAAAACCCAAAUCUCCAAACAAAACACUGUAGAAAUCAAAAGGAAGAAAGAAAGGGUUACCUUUAAAAUGAAAGUGGAAAGAAUGAGUGUCGGGGUGGAGAGAAAAGAUAGAUAGAUAGAUAGAUAGAGAGAGAGAGAGAGAUAGAGACAUGGAAGAUAUGGUCGGAGAUGGGGGCAGUCGUCGAUGGUGGAGGUAAUUGUCAGUCGGCGGUGGCGUCGCCGAUAGCAAUGGUGAGAUAGGUAACCAUCAUGGAGAUCAGGGAGAGAGAGAGAGAGAGGGGGAAAAAGAGAGAGAAAGAGAGAAGAAGAAAAAAAAGAAAAAAAAAAGAAACAAGGACUGAUCGGAGCAAGAUGGUUGUUGUCGGCGUCGUGGGGCCACGACAGUGAGACUACCGACAGUGAUAUAAGGGGUGAGUGAGAGAGAAAGAGGGAGAAAUAGGGAGAAAUAGGGAGAAAAUAAGGGAUAUGGGUGUGGAGAAAAAGUAAAGAAGAAAGAAAAAAGGAAAAAUGGGAAAAAAAAUAGGAAGAAAAGAAAGAAGAUGGGAAGAAGAAAAAAAAA
This 1292-nucleotide long non-coding RNA is filed under the name Vitis vinifera (wine grape). RNAcentral's name for it is "long non-coding RNA (VVIN_LNC005093)". Lineage: Eukaryota; Viridiplantae; Streptophyta; Magnoliopsida; Vitales; Vitaceae. The record is from RNAcentral.